RNAcentral lists this ribosomal RNA (464 nucleotides) under uncultured bacterium. Its description in RNAcentral is "partial 16S ribosomal RNA". It matches the Rfam family "Bacterial small subunit ribosomal RNA", at positions 338 to 795 of the family's 1533-position model. The record is from RNAcentral.
CCUACGGGUGGCUGCAGUGGGGAAUCUUCCGCAAUGGGCGAAAGCCUGACGGAGCAACGCCGCGUGCUCGAAUGAAGGCCUUCGGGUUGUAAAGUGCUGUUGUCAGGGACGAAUAAGCAAUGCAAAUAGUUUUUUGUAUGUCGGUUCCUGUUUAGAAAGCUCCGGCUACAUACCUGCCAGCAGCCGCGGUAAUACGUAGGGAGCAAGCGUCGUCCGGAUUUACUGGGCGUAAAGGGCGCGUAGGUGGGUGCUUAAGUCAGGUGUGAAAACUCCAGGCUCAACAUGGUGACUGCACUUGAAACUGGGGGUCGUGAGGGCGGGAGAGGAAGGUGGAAUGCCUAGUGUAGCGGUGAAAUGCGUAGAUAUUAGGAGGAACACCAGUUGCGAAGGCGACUUGCUGGACUGGACCUGACGCUGAGGCGCGAAAGCGUGGGGAGCGAACGGGAUUAGAUACCCUUGUAGUC